CCCACAUUUACGUCUACAGCUCUGACCUCUUCUCUGAACUCCAGACUUGUGUGCAGCCAUCUCUCCUACACCUCUACUUACUUUCCUCCUGGUAUCUCAAAC
Sapajus apella (tufted capuchin) is the source of this 102-nucleotide long non-coding RNA. RefSeq lists it as uncharacterized. The transcript has 3 exons. The record is from RefSeq and is a predicted model, not a curated record. Lineage: Eukaryota; Metazoa; Chordata; Mammalia; Primates; Cebidae.